RNAcentral lists this ribosomal RNA (376 nucleotides) under uncultured Gammaproteobacteria bacterium. Its description in RNAcentral is "bacterial SSU rRNA". It matches the Rfam family "Bacterial small subunit ribosomal RNA", at positions 521 to 896 of the family's 1533-position model. Lineage: Bacteria; Pseudomonadati; Pseudomonadota; Gammaproteobacteria. The record is from RNAcentral.
UAAUACGGAGGGUGCAAGCGUUAAUCGGAAUUACUGGGCGUAAAGCGUGCGUAGGCGGUUUAUUAAGUCAGAUGUGAAAGCCCCGGGCUUAACCUGGGAACUGCAUUUGAAACUGGUCAACUAGAGUAUGGUAGAGGAAAGUGGAAUUUCUGGUGUAGUGGUGAAAUGCGUAGAUAUCAGAAGGAACAUCAAUGGCGAAGGCAACUUUCUGGACCAAUACUGACGCUGAGGUACGAAAGCGUGGGUAGCAAACAGGAUUAGAUACCCUGGUAGUCCACGCCGUAAACGAUGAUAACUAGCCGUUGGGGGGAUUUACCCCUUAGUGGCGAAGCUAACGCGUUAAGUUAUCCGCCUGGGGAGUACGGCCGCAAGGCUA